This 253-nucleotide ribosomal RNA is filed under the name uncultured bacterium. RNAcentral's name for it is "partial 16S ribosomal RNA". It matches the Rfam family "Bacterial small subunit ribosomal RNA", at positions 524 to 776 of the family's 1533-position model. The record is from RNAcentral.
UACGAAGGGUGCAAGCGUUAAUCGGAAUUACUGGGCGUAAAGCGUGCGUAGGUGGUCUUUUAAGUCCGUUGUGAAAGCCCUGGGCUCAACCUGGGAAUGGCAGUGGAUACUGGAAGGCUGGAGUACGGUAGAGGAGGGUGGAAUUCCCGGUGUAGCGGUGAAAUGCGUAGAGAUCGGGAGGAACAUCAGUGGCGAAGGCGGCCCUCUGGACCAGUACUGACGCUCAUGUGCGAAAGCGUGGGGAGCAAACAGG